UGAACGCUAGCGGCAGGCCUAACACAUGCAAGUCGAACGGUAACAGUCUCUUCGGAGAGCUGACGAGUGGCGCACGGGUGCGUAACGCGUAUGCAACCUACCUCUAACUGGAGAAUAGCCCGGGGAAACCCGGAUUAAUACUCCAUAAUACCAAGAUUUCUCAUGAUUUCUUGAUUAAAGCUUUGGCGGUUAGAGAUGGGCAUGCGUCCUAUUAGUUAGUUGGCGAGGUAACGGCUCACCAAGACAGCGAUAGGUAGGGGGUCUGAGAGGAUGAUCCCCCACACUGGUACUGAGACACGGACCAGACUCCUACGGGAGGCAGCAGUGAGGAAUAUUGGGCAAUGGACGAAAGUCUGACCCAGCCAUGCCGCGUGCAGGAUGACGGCCCUAUGGGUUGUAAACUGCUUUUAUAUGGGAAGAAACCCCUCUACGUGUAGGGGGCUGACGGUACCAUACGAAUAAGCAUCGGCUAACUCC
This 477-nucleotide ribosomal RNA is filed under the name uncultured bacterium. Its description in RNAcentral is "bacterial SSU rRNA". It matches the Rfam family "Bacterial small subunit ribosomal RNA", at positions 30 to 504 of the family's 1533-position model. The record is from RNAcentral.